GAGUAACACGUGGGUGAUCUGCCCUGUACUUCGGGAUAAGCCUGGGAAACUGGGUCUAAUACCGGAUAUGACCUUACAUCGCAUGGUGUUUGGUGGAAAGAUUUAUCGGUACAGGAUGGGCCCGCGGCCUAUCAUCUUGUUGGUGGGGUAAUGGCCUACCAAGGCGACGACGGGUAGCCGGCCUGAGAGGGCGACCGGCCACACUGGGACUGAGACACGGCCCAGACUCCUACGGGAGGCAGCAGUGGGGAAUAUUGCACAAUGGGCGAAAGCCUGAUGCAGCGACGCCGCGUGAGGGAUGACGGCCUUCGGGUUGUAAACCUCUUUCGACAGGGACGAAGCGCAAGUGACGGUACCUGUAGAAGAAGCACCGGCCAACUACGUGC
This 386-nucleotide ribosomal RNA is filed under the name Nocardia farcinica. Its description in RNAcentral is "bacterial SSU rRNA". It matches the Rfam family "Bacterial small subunit ribosomal RNA", at positions 108 to 508 of the family's 1533-position model. The record is from RNAcentral. Lineage: Bacteria; Bacillati; Actinomycetota; Actinomycetes; Mycobacteriales; Nocardiaceae.